CCCCCGCCAUAGCAGAGGCCACUCCCACCGCCGUAGCCGCCGCUGCUCAGGCAGAGGCCGCCAGCUCCUCCGUAGCCUGUUCCCCCGGAGGAAGAGACCACAGCUGAGGAAAGAAGGCACGGGACACGCCGGGCAGUGGAGGUCGCUGGAUGAGAAAAUGGCUUUCCGGGGUCUUUCUCUGGGCAGUGGGUAAGUAUGUAAUGCAAGACAAGCAUGAUCACGUGCUGCCCAGAUGAAGCAGCCUGUGCCAGGCGAAUGCAUCCCCACCCCCGGGAGGCCCUUAUCCCAGAGGCUCUCUGGGAUUGAGUCAAGGCCAUGUACUGGAUAGUUUUAUGUCAGCUUGGCACAAGCUAGAGUUGUCUGAAAGAAGGGAGCCUCAAUCGAGAAAAUGCCUCCACAAGAUCUGGUCGGAAGGCAUUUUCUUAAUUAGUGAUUGAUGGAGGCCCAGCCGUUUGUAGGUGGAGCCAUCCCUGUGGUGUAAGAAAGCAACUGAGCAAGCCCUGAGGAGCAAGCCAGUGAGCAGCCUGCUCCAUGGCCUCUGCAUCAGCUCCUGCUCCAGGUUCCUGCCCUGCUUGAGUUCCUGUCCCGACUUUCUUCGGUAAUGGGCAGUGACAGUGAAGUGUGAGCUGAAUAAACCUUUUCCUCCCCAGCUUGCUUUUUGAUCAUGGUGUUUCACCACAGCACUAGAAACCCUGACCAAGACAGACCAGAUCCAAGUCUUCCAGACACAGGAGCGUGAAUGGGAUGGCCUUUGAGAGUUCAGUCCUACCUGCUUCUUCAGGCUGUCAAUCUCAGAGCGCAGCCUCUGAAUGGCCCGGUUGAGCUCAGAGAUCUCCAUCUUAGUGGUACGGAGGUCAUCCCCAUGCUGGCCAGCAGACCGCUGCAGCUCCUCAUACUGGGAGAAAGGAGAGGCUUCAGCCACACACCUCAGCCAACAGCCAGACGCCUGGGCCCUUGCUCCUUUCCCGCUCCUGGCCUCUCUUCCUCAGCCUCUGCUCCAUGCAUCUCACCUUCCCAGACCAGCAUCGCACACCUGGCAUGCUUUGCCAUCUUCCUUCACACACUUCUGUCAUGGCACCAGUGGGUACUGUCGCCGUGACUCCCAGCUCAGAGGUGAAAUCUCGUUCUCUGAUCCAUAGUAAAUCUCUGGCUCCAACCAGCUCCAGCUGGCCCUCUUUGCAUCCUCUGUCCUCAUCUUGAAGGCAUUAGACCUUGGUCUUGACCUCAGCCCCUCCCAUUGGCAUGGUGGCUGCAACUGACCACUUAUACCCGUUUCUCUGAUAUGAAGCCUUGGGGGUGUAUGUCAUCAGUCCUGGAAGAAGACCUGGUACUUCUGCCUGUAUCUGACUAUUCCCUUUGAUCCUGGUGGUUUUAGCCCUGGGUAAUGCUCUAAGUCAGACCCUUUGGUCCCCACCAUGCUGGGACGCUGGAGAGGAAGGCUCUUACCUUAUUCGUCUGUGAAACCUCUAGUCCCUGUGCCUGUUUAGUUGGUUGGAUCUUGGCGCCUCACCUUGGUCUGGUACCAGGAUUCAGCCUCGGCUCGGCUGCGGUUGGCGAUGUCCUCGUACUGCGCCUUGACCUCGGCGAUGAUGCUGUCCAGGUCCAGGCUGCGGUUGUUGUCCAUGGACAGGACCACAGAGGUCUCAGAGAUCUGAGCCUGAAGCUGAGCCAGCUCCUGUGUUUGAGUCCAAAGAGGAGAGAUGAGACAGGACGUUCCCGUAUGCCCGUACACAUGACUUGCUCCAUGAAGAACCAUCUGAAGACGGGUUGGGAGCAGAGAGAAGGCCAGUAAAGAGACAGUAGCUUGGAUGCCCCCAAGCCAGUGCUCACAGCCUCCAGCCCUCCAGUCAGGGCACCCGGCUCUCACCGCCUCAUAGAAUGCUCUCAGGAAGUUGAUCUCGUCCAUCAGGGCGUCCACCUUGGCCUCCAGCUCCACCUUGUUCAUGUAGGCAGCGUCCACGUCCUGAGCACAGAACAUGAGAUCAUCCUGGGGUCUACCCAGGGUUGGCUUGCAGCCCCUGGCCUAACCGCUGGAGCUAGUGGGACAGCCUCGGCCCCAUGUACUAUGACCUUCAGGAGUGCCUGUUGGCUGCUCAUCGGCUAGCGCCGUAUGCAAGGGUCUCCUCUGUCACCUUCCAUGGUGAGGACUUUCCUUUCUCAAUCUUGGGGCUUCCGUUGCCUCUGAGCUCUGCAAGCCUCUCCCCAAAGACCAUGUGUGCCCUCAUCCUCACACCUCUGCCCUCACCCCCGCUUCCCUUCCCUUCCUCUCCUUGCUGCUGCUCUGUCAAUGUAAUCCGUGGUGGUUUUUUCCUUCUCUCUGCCAGUCUGUCUCAAAGCAGGACAGCCAGACCUCCAGGCUUCCACUGCCUUGCCUGAAGAUUGGCCCUGUGUUCUGAAUUUGGAGCUGGGGACCAGGCCCAGCUGGCUUCUGCUCACCCCACAUUGCACCGUGCAAGGAGAGGGGCUGGUGUCAAGGCUCGCAGGACUCGGACCUGGGAGCCCUGAACCCGGAGCUACCUCUAAGCACCUCUGUACAACAAACUGAACCUCCCCGGACCUCAUGUCCUCAUGGGUAAAGUCAGAUCUGUCUCCCGGAAGACCAGGAGCUGCAGUGAGUGUGCUGCCUUCCCCAGGAACUUGUGGUCGGUCUAUGAGACCACCUUUGUACUUACUUUUUUGAGUAUUACAAACUCAUUCUCUGCCGCUGUA
Long non-coding RNA from Meriones unguiculatus (Mongolian gerbil), 2709 nucleotides. RefSeq lists it as uncharacterized. The transcript is spliced from 4 exons. The record is from RefSeq and is a predicted model, not a curated record. NCBI's taxonomy places the organism in Eukaryota, Metazoa, Chordata, Mammalia, Rodentia, Muridae.